CCGGCAUUUACACAGGUCCUCCCCAGGCUGUGGGGCCAGGACCUACUAGCUGGUACUGAGAGAAAAUUCACAGUUGCAUCCUUCCCCUGGGACUGUGCCAGUGGCAGUGGUCAGCUAAUGGGACAGAG
Molecule: small nucleolar RNA, 128 nt
Filed under: Echinops telfairi (small Madagascar hedgehog)
Lineage: Eukaryota; Metazoa; Chordata; Mammalia; Afrosoricida; Tenrecidae
Description: Small nucleolar RNA SNORA30/SNORA37 family (ENSETEG00000022747.1)
Source: RNAcentral